ACCUGGUUGAUCCUGCCAGUAGUCAUAUGCUUGUCUCAAAGAUUAAGCCAUGCAUGUAUAAGUAUAAAUUUGUUUAUGGUGAAACUGCGAAUGGCUCAUUACAACGGUUUUAGUUUACUUGAGAUAUAACUACUGGAUAACCGUAGUAACUCUAGAGCUAAUACAUUUAUCGGGACGUUAGUCUCGUGUUUAUUAGAUUUCACCGAACAGAUUUUUCUGUUGGGGAGUCAUGAUAAAUUAACGAAUCGCUUUUACGAUGCUUCAAACAAGUUUCCGUCCCAUCAGUUUGUUGGUUGUGUAUUGGACUACCAAAACACUUACGGGUAACGAGGAAUUGGGGUUCGAUUUCGGAGAGGGAGUCUGAGAAACGGCUACCACAUCUACGGAAGGCAGCAGGCGCGCAAAUUACCCAAUGUAAAUAUGUAUGAGGUAGUGACAAGAAAUAUCAAAGCGAACUUAUGUUUGCUAUUGAAAUGGGUAAAAUUUAAACAAUUUUACGAGGAGCAACUGGAGGGCAAGUCUGGUGCCAGCAGCCGCGGCAACACCAGCUCCAGUAGCGUAUAUUAAAGUUGUUGCAGUUGAAACGCUCGUAGUCUGAAUUUAAUCCGAAAGGAAAUAAUCGCUCGCCUCACUAGCCACCUGGCUGGUGAGUAUACGACGAUUUUUCACCUUGAUGAAUCUAGAGUGUUCAAGGCAGGCCAAGCCUGAAUAGCUCCGCAUGGAAUGAGACGAAAAUAUUUAUCUUGUUUCGGUGCUUGAUAAUGAUAAUAUCUUUAGGAACAGUCGAGGGCAUUUGUACUUAAUCGAGAGAGGUGAAAUUCUUGGACCGAUUAAUGACAAACAAAAGCGAAGGCAUCUGCCAAGGAUGUUUUCUUUGAUCAAGAACGAAGGUCAGGGUAUCGAAGACGAUCAGAUACCGUCGUAGUCCUGACUGUAAACUAUGCCGACUGGGGUUCAAUGAUACAGAUUAUGAUGUCGUUGGGAUCCAGAGAGAAAUCAAAGUUUUUGGGUUCUGGGGGAAGUAUGGUCACAAGGCAGAAACUUGAAGGAAUUGACGGAAGGGCACCACCAGGCGUGGAGCUUGCGGCUUAAUUUGACUCAACGCGGGGAAACUUACCAGGUCAAAACAUGCGAAGGAUUGACAGGCUGAUAGUCCUUUCUCGAUUGCAUGGCUGGUGGUGCAUGGCCGUUCUUAGUUGGUGGACUGAUCUGUCUGGUUAAUUCCGGUAACGAACGAGACCUUGGCCUGCUAACUAGAUUACGUACUUCUGUGCGUAAAGCUUCUUAGAGGGACAAUGGUGGUUACAUCACUGAAGCUCAAGGUAAUAACAGGUCUGUUAUGCCCUUAGAUGUCCUGGGCCGCACGCGUGCUACACUGAUACAGACAACAAGUUCCCUGCUCCGAAAGGCAGUAGGUAAUCUCUAAUCUGUAUCGUGAUGGGGAUAGAUCUUUGCAAUUAUAGAUCUUGAACGAGGAAUUCCUAGUAAGCGUAAGUCAACAGCUUACGCUGAUUACGUCCCUGCCCUUUGUACACACCGCCCGUCGCUCCUACCGAUUUCGAGUGAUCCGGUGAACCUUUCGGACUGCUUCGGUUUCCGAGGCGGAAAGUCAAGUAAACCAAAUCACUUAGAGGAAGGAGAAGUCGUAACAAGGUUUCCGUAGGUGAACCUGCAGAAGGAUCA
RNAcentral lists this ribosomal RNA (1683 nucleotides) under uncultured ciliate. RNAcentral describes it as "SSU rRNA". It matches the Rfam family "Eukaryotic small subunit ribosomal RNA". The record is from RNAcentral. Lineage: Eukaryota; Ciliophora.